Molecule: ribosomal RNA, 446 nt
Filed under: uncultured bacterium
Lineage: Bacteria
Description: partial 16S ribosomal RNA
Rfam family: Bacterial small subunit ribosomal RNA
Source: RNAcentral
CCUACGGGCGGCAGCAGUCGAGAAUCAUUCACAAUGGGGGAAACCCUGAUGGUGCGACGCCGCGUGGGGGAAUGAAGGUCUUCGGAUUGUAAACCCCUGUCAUGUGGGAGCAAAUUAAAAAGAUAGUACCACAAGAGGAAGAGACGGCUAACUCUGUGCCAGCAGCCGCGGUACUACAGAGGUCGCAAGCGUUGUUCGGAAUCACUGGGCGUAAAGCGUGCGUAGGCUGUUUCGUAAGUCGUGUGUGAAAGGCGCGGGCUCAACCCGCGGACGGCACAUGAUACUGCGAGACUAGAGUAAUGGAGGGGGAACCGGAAUUCGCGGUGUAGCAGUGAAAUGCGUAGAUAUCGAGAGGAACACUCGUGGCGAAGGCGGGUUCCUGGACAUUAACUGACGCUGAGGCACGAAGGCCAGGGGAGCGAAAGGGAUUAGAUACCCGUGUAGUC